GGGUGAUACUAUUUUUGGCUUGGGGUCGCCUGAGCCCCGAGAUCUGAGCCUCUAGUCUAUCCUCUUUGCUUGGCUCUACAAGAGUGAGAGGAAAGCCAUUAGAAUUAGAAGAAGAAGAAGAAUUCCGUGAAAGAUCUGCCUUACAUCUGCUGGAGUGACCAAAAUUCACAUUCCGAAAAGAUAAAAUUGAUUUAAAGCGUGAAAAUCUGUCUUUGAAUUUAGUGAGAGCUGAACUUUGAGUAAAAAAUGGUGAAAUUAACACCGGAUCUGAUCCAGCAGUCGAUGCAGUACAUAAAUCCCGUCAGGGAUCGGGAGUUGGAUCUUAGAGGUUAUAAAAUUCCAACAAUCGAGAAUUUAGGAGCAACACUGGAUCAAUUCGAUACGAUUGACUUCUCCGACAACGACAUUCGUAAGCUGGAUGGAUUCCCUCUCCUAAAACGUAUAAAAACUCUCUUCUUCAACAACAAUCGAAUCGUUAGAAUCUCAGAGGGUCUGGAGCAAUGCAUUCCCAACCUGGAGACCCUGAUGCUAACAGGAAACAUGCUGCAGGAGCUGGGAGAUCUGGACCCCCUCAUUCCCUUGAAGAAUCUUCAAAACCUCUGCCUCCUGCAGAAUCCAGUCUCAGCUAAACCUCAGUACAGACAGUACCUGAUUUACAGACUUCCACAAUUGCGUCUCCUAGAUUUCAGGAAGAUAAAGCAGAAGGAACGAGAGGCUGCUAUUGAGUAUUUCAGGAGUAAGAGUGGAAAAGACAUGGCAAGAGAGAUCGCCAAGAAGGCGAAGAUGCAAGCGUUGAUGGGAAUGCCGGAAAAACCGACAAUGAGCAGUGAAGAGAGAAACAAAAUCGAAAAGGCGAUCAAUAGUGCCUCAAGCUUAGAGGAAGUCAAGAGACUCAGUAAACUGUUGCAAUCAGGGCAACUUCCGGGGCAAGAGCAGCAUCAAAAUGGAGGAAAUGCCAUGGAGGAAGAUGAUGAGUAACCGUAAGAAUCCAAUAAGGCUUUUUUUAUAAUUAAAAUAUGAAAACAUAAUACCUCGUAUAGAACUCUUCGAAGGGGAUCGCAGCGAUGAUCUAUAAUAUAAUUUGAAGAAAUACAUGAUUAAUGAUAAAUGAAGUAAUAAGUCGUUUUAUAAUGAGAGUAUUCUGGUUUUUCGAGUUUCGAAAAAUCAUAUGAAAUAAAGUUUUUCUGUACAUAG
This is an RNA transcript of Diachasma alloeum, 1194 nucleotides long. It is a transcript of the gene named probable U2 small nuclear ribonucleoprotein A', with no coding region annotated. The transcript has 5 exons. NCBI's taxonomy places the organism in Eukaryota, Metazoa, Arthropoda, Insecta, Hymenoptera, Braconidae. The record is from RefSeq and is a predicted model, not a curated record.